AAUUUUCAUGAACAAUCCAAGCAUAA
RNAcentral lists this non-coding RNA (26 nucleotides) under Homo sapiens (human). RNAcentral also lists the same sequence under 2 other names. Lineage: Eukaryota; Metazoa; Chordata; Mammalia; Primates; Hominidae. The record is from RNAcentral.